Non-coding RNA from Seminavis robusta, 73 nucleotides. The record is from the annotation of a GenBank genome assembly. Lineage: Eukaryota; Bacillariophyta; Bacillariophyceae; Naviculales; Naviculaceae.
AAAGCGACGCAGCGACGCUGCGACGUCGCAGCGACGUCGCAGCGACGUCGCAGCGACGUCGCUGCGUCGCUUU